GUGUCAGCAGCCGCGGUAAUACGAAGGGGGCUAGCGUUGCUCGGAAUUACUGGGCGUAAAGGGCGCGUAGGCGGACGACUAAGUUGGGGGUGAAAUCCCAGGGCUCAACCCUGGAACUGCCUCCAAAACUGGUCGUCUUGAGUAUGGGAGAGGUGUGUGGAACUCCGAGUGUAGAGGUGAAAUUCGUAGAUAUUCGGAAGAACACCAGUGGCGAAGGCGACACACUGGCCCAUUACUGACGCUGAGGCGCGAAAGCGUGGGGAGCAAACAGGAUUAGAUACCCCAGUAGUCC
Molecule: ribosomal RNA, 292 nt
Filed under: uncultured bacterium
Lineage: Bacteria
Description: partial 16S ribosomal RNA
Rfam family: Bacterial small subunit ribosomal RNA
Source: RNAcentral